This 121-nucleotide non-coding RNA is filed under the name Nitrospirota bacterium. RNAcentral describes it as "Nitrospirae bacterium TPP sequence". It matches the Rfam family "TPP riboswitch aptamer (THI element)". From Rfam's summary of the family: Vitamin B(1) in its active form thiamin pyrophosphate (TPP) is an essential coenzyme that is synthesised by coupling of pyrimidine and thiazole moieties in bacteria. Lineage: Bacteria; Pseudomonadati; Nitrospirota. The record is from RNAcentral.
AUCAACCCCUGGGGGAGGCGAGAGCCUGAGAGUCCCGUCCCGAUAUUUUCGGGAUUAUCGGGAGACCCCUUGAACCUGAUACGGGUAAUACCGGCGUAGGAAUUAGGGACUGUUGACCGUA